GGGGCUGACUUGGUUUCGACAUUUAGAAAUCGUUAAAGUAUGAUACAGGUCGAAGUUUGAAUUCUUCGUAAAAAAAUCUCAACUCAAAAUAAAUGCUAACAAUAUUAUCUCUUUCAUGUUUAAAGCAAUAACUAAUAUUAUGAAAACAAAGCAAAACGCUUCACCUUUAUUAAGCUACGCAGUUUAAUUUUAUUCUCAUAAUAUUUUUGAUUAAAAAUCUUUGUUCACUAUAACUAGACUUUUGUCUUCUUUAUAGUUUAGACUAAUUUUAAUUAUUAUAACUCGUUCAAGUUUUUUUGAACUAAACCUGUGAAUGAGUACAUUAAUGAAAUUUAGAUGGACGUGGGUUCGACUCCCAUCAGCUCCA
This 367-nucleotide transfer-messenger RNA is filed under the name Plagiogrammopsis vanheurckii. RNAcentral describes it as "SsrA". It matches the Rfam family "transfer-messenger RNA". From Rfam's summary of the family: Bacterial tmRNA, also known as 10Sa RNA or SsrA, is named for its dual tRNA and mRNA-like properties. Its role is to liberate the mRNA from a stalled ribosome. Lineage: Eukaryota; Bacillariophyta; Thalassiosirophyceae; Cymatosirales; Cymatosiraceae. The record is from RNAcentral.